AGUGAACGCUGGCGGCAGGGUUAACACAUGCAAGUCGAACGAUGAAACUCUAGCUUGCUAGAGAAGAUUAGUGGCGGACGGGUGAGUAACAUUUAGGAAUCUGCCUAGUAGUGGGGGAUAGCUCGGGGAAACUCGAAUUAAUACCGCAUACGACCUACGGGUGAAAGGGGGCGCAAGCUCUUGCUAUUAGAUGAGCCUAAAUCAGAUUAGCUAGUUGGUGGGGUAAAGGCCUACCAAGGCGACGAUCUGUAACCGGUCUGAGAGGAUGAUCAGUCACACCGGAACUGAGACACGGUCCGGACUCCUACGGGAGGCAGCAGUGGGGAAUAUUGGACAAUGGGGGCAACCCUGAUCCAGCCAUGCCGCGUGUGUGAAGAAGGCCUUUUGGUUGUAAAGCACUUUAAGCAGGGAGGAGAGGCUAAUGGUUAAUACCCAUUAGAUUAGACGUUACCUGCAGAAUAAGCACCGGCUAACUCUGUGCCAGCAGCCGCGGUAAUACAGAGGGUGCGAGCGUUAAUCGGAAUUACUGGGCGUAAAGCGAGUGUAGGUGGCUCAUUAAGUCACAUGUGAAAUCCCCGGGCUUAACCUGGGAACUGCAUGUGAUACUGGUGGUGCUAGAAUAUGUGAGAGGGAAGUAGAAUUCCAGGUGUAGCGGUGAAAUGCGUAGAGAUCUGGAGGAAUACCGAUGGCGAAGGCAGCUUCCUGGCAUAAUAUUGACACUGAGAUUCGAAAGCGUGGGUAGCAAACAGGAUUAGAUACCCUGGUAGUCCACGCCGUAAACGAUGUCUACUAGCCGUUGGGGUCCUUGAGACUUUAGUGGCGCAGUUAACGCGAUAAGUAGACCGCCUGGGGAGUACGGCCGCAAGGUUAAAACUCAAAUGAAUUGACGGGGGCCCGCACAAGCGGUGGAGCAUGUGGUUUAAUUCGAUGCAACGCGAAGAACCUUACCUGGUCUUGACAUAGUGAGAAUCCUGCAGAGAUGCGGGAGUGCCUUCGGGAAUUCACAUACAGGUGCUGCAUGGCUGUCGUCAGCUCGUGUCGUGAGAUGUUGGGUUAAGUCCCGCAACGAGCGCAACCCUUUUCCUUAUUUGCCAGCGGGUUAAGCCGGGAACUUUAAGGAUACUGCCAGUGACAAACUGGAGGAAGGCGGGGACGACGUCAAGUCAUCAUGGCCCUUACGACCAGGGCUACACACGUGCUACAAUGGUAGGUACAGAGGGUUGCUACACAGCGAUGUGAUGCUAAUCUCAAAAAGCCUAUCGUAGUCCGGAUUGGAGUCUGCAACUCGACUCCAUGAAGUCGGAAUCGCUAGUAAUCGCAGAUCAGAAUGCUGCGGUGAAUACGUUCCCGGGCCU
RNAcentral lists this ribosomal RNA (1355 nucleotides) under uncultured bacterium. RNAcentral describes it as "bacterial SSU rRNA". It matches the Rfam family "Bacterial small subunit ribosomal RNA", at positions 28 to 1381 of the family's 1533-position model. The record is from RNAcentral.